This 468-nucleotide ribosomal RNA is filed under the name uncultured bacterium. RNAcentral's name for it is "partial 16S ribosomal RNA". It matches the Rfam family "Bacterial small subunit ribosomal RNA", at positions 28 to 507 of the family's 1533-position model. The record is from RNAcentral.
GACGAACGCUGGCGGCGUGCUUAACACAUGCAAGUCGAACGGAAAGGCCCUGCUUUUGUGGGGUGCUCGAGGGGCGAACGGGUGAGUAACACGUGAGUAACCUGCCCUUGACUUUGGGAUAACUUCAGGAAACUGGGGCUAAUACCGGAUAGGAGCUCCUGCUGCAUGGUGGGGGCUGGAAAGUUUCGGCGGUUGGGGAUGGACUCGCGGCUUAUCAGCUUGUUGGUGGGGUAGUGGCUUACCAAGGCUUUGACGGGUAGCCGGCCUGAGAGGGUGACCGGCCACAUUGGGACUGAGGUACGGCCCAGACUCCUACGGGAGACAGCAGUGGGGAAUAUUGCACAAUGGGCGGAAGCCUGAUGCAGCAACGCCGCGUGCGGGAUGACGGCCUUCGGGUUGUAAACCGCUUUCGCCUGUGACGAAGCGUGAGUGACGGUAAUGGGUAAAGAAGCACCGGCUAACUACGUG